Molecule: ribosomal RNA, 255 nt
Filed under: uncultured bacterium
Lineage: Bacteria
Description: partial 16S ribosomal RNA
Rfam family: Bacterial small subunit ribosomal RNA
Source: RNAcentral
UACGAAGGGGGGCUAGUGUUGCUCGGAAUCACUGGGCGUAAAGGGUGCGUAGGCGGGUCUUUAAGUCAGGGGUGAAAUCCUGGAGCUCAACUCCAGAACUGCCUUUGAUACUGAAGAUCUUGAGUUCGGGAGAGGUGAGUGGAACUGCGAGUGUAGAGGUGAAAUUCGUAGAUAUUCGCAAGAACACCAGUGGCGAAGGCGGCUCACUGGCCCGAUACUGACGCUGAGGCACGAAAGCGUGGGGAGCAAACAGGG